Molecule: ribosomal RNA, 298 nt
Filed under: uncultured bacterium
Lineage: Bacteria
Description: partial 16S ribosomal RNA
Rfam family: Bacterial small subunit ribosomal RNA
Source: RNAcentral
GCUAACCUACGGGACGCAGCAGUGAGGAAUAUUGGUCAAUGGCCGGAAGGCUGAGCCAGCCAAGCCGCGUGAAGGACGAAGGUGCCAAGCAUUGUAAACUUCUUUUGUCAAGGGACAAAAUCAGGCUCGAGAGCCUGACCGAGGGUACUUGAAGAAAAAGCAUCGGCUAACUCCGUGCCAGCAGCCGCGGUAAUACGGAGGAUGCGAGCGUUAUCCGGAUUUAUUGGGUUUAAAGGGUGCGUAGGCGGACUGUUAAGUCAGCGGAAAAAGCCCGGGGCUCACCCGCGGCGAGCCGGUG